UACGUAGGGGGCUAGCGUUGUCCGGAAUCAUUGGGCGUAAAGCGCGUGUAGGCGGCCCGGUAAGUCCGCUGUGAAAGUCGGGGGCUCAACCCUCGGAUGCCGGUGGAUACUGUCGGGCUCGAGUACGGAAGAGGCGAGUGGAAUUCCUGGUGUAGCGGUGAAAUGCGCAGAUAUCAGGAGGAACACCAAUUGCGAAGGCAGCUCGCUGGGACGUUACUGACACUGAGGCGCGAAAGCGUGGGGAGCGAACAGG
RNAcentral lists this ribosomal RNA (253 nucleotides) under uncultured bacterium. Its description in RNAcentral is "partial 16S ribosomal RNA". It matches the Rfam family "Bacterial small subunit ribosomal RNA", at positions 524 to 776 of the family's 1533-position model. The record is from RNAcentral.